AAUUGAAAUUUCCCUAGACACUUUUAUGCACACGGUGACACAAAUCACGUUCCAAUUGCAGUAACUGCCGACACAACAUUACACAUCCGUACCACAGUAUAUGUAUAACCAGUAGCGUCACUCAAGAAAAAUAGCGUCGGAGAAAUGCUACGGCGCAUGCGUUGGAUUACUAUCCACAAUAUGGUGUACAGUGAGUUGUAAACACAUUUUAGGUCUGAAAAUAUUUUUAAAAAACAUUGUUAUAAUAAUAGAACGUCGCGUAGUUGUUGAUGAUUUCACGUGCGCAAUGCAAGAUUGCAAUGAAAAUUCCGGCUCCAGUCGUCACUUGAGCUUUUUUCGCUUUCCAUCUCAUCCAGAAAGGUGACUGAAUUCCUGUUCAAUUAUUCAACACAUACCUAUCCACAAAAUGGAGCUUAUCUUAUAAGUAUUCAUACGUAUUCAUAAUAACAAGACAGAAAUCAAUUUAAGUACAUUAAACAGAUAAACAAUAAUACACCUGAUAAUAUAAAACAAAUUAGUCUUUUAUAACCAAUUGUAAAUUACAUAGAAUUGUUAUAUACAUUUAUUUAUUAUCAAUUUUUAUAUACAUCUAAAAUUUGAGAUUUCGUAUUUUUGAAGAGUAUAACAAAAAAUUGGAAUCAUUGAUCACGAAUUUAUCGUAAUUUUACACAUUAUAUACAUUUCAAUUGUAAAUAAUCUAAAUGUACAUCAAUAUGUUU
This is a long non-coding RNA of Nylanderia fulva, 719 nucleotides long. RefSeq lists it as uncharacterized. The record is from RefSeq and is a predicted model, not a curated record. NCBI's taxonomy places the organism in Eukaryota, Metazoa, Arthropoda, Insecta, Hymenoptera, Formicidae.